AUUUAAGUAGCUUAUUUUAGAGCAUGACAUUGAAGAUGUCAGGGAGGUUUUAUACUCUUAGAUA
Molecule: transfer RNA, 64 nt
Filed under: Xyloterini sp.
Lineage: Eukaryota; Metazoa; Arthropoda; Insecta; Coleoptera; Curculionidae
Description: tRNA-Phe
Source: RNAcentral